Molecule: non-coding RNA, 105 nt
Organism: Canis lupus familiaris (dog)
Lineage: Eukaryota; Metazoa; Chordata; Mammalia; Carnivora; Canidae
Source: Rfam
AGGAGGAACAACCGCAGUGGCGGGGCCAGCUCUGCAGCCCUGGAGUCAGCUCCCGCAGUAGCUCCGGAGCUCUCCGUCUGCAGGGCCUGGAGGCUCCGGGGCGGG